ACCUUUAAUAGUUCUCAAUGUAUUAGCUAGGCAAGAGAAGCCAAACAACAUACAAAUAUGUAUCCUAAAGUAAUGAACCAAGGAUCUAUUAUGCAUCCUUUAGUCAAGGCACAACAUACUGCCAACUCUAACUAUAAAAGAUUAAUUCACGAAUUCAGAUAAAUUAUUGAAUGCAACACUUGAGGGCUACAAUUACACGCCACAUGUUACCUACAAUAAGACAAAACUAUAGGAAAAGAGAAAAAAAUAUAUAAGUGUCGAUGAUCAUUCAAAAGCCUCCUCGAUCAGAUCGACCAUCUUUUCCUGCAUCAUUUAUGUAACUACUAUAAGAUUUACUACACAAAUAAAAAUGACGAGAAAGCAUUAUAGAGAGCAAUAGGCAGGACCAUGAUAUUAUAAGCCAAAUAUGUGGUAGUGGAUUUGGAUAAUCUAAAAUCCAAUUGGAGUCCACUAGUUUAUUUGGAUAACAUAGAUGAUGUCUAUUUGGAUUUAGACAACAAAAACAAGCAAAACAAUUUCUGCAAUAGUUGCUCAUGAGUUGAGCAAUUUGUGCAAACAAAUUAUAAUACAUCUUCAGCUAUCGUAAGUGCAGCUACAUCGUAUUCAUCUGGAAGCCGGAAUGCAGGAAGAAAAAUAUACUGCAAACAAGCUAAUCGUGUUGCAAGAUAGAGCCAGUCCAUUAAAUCAUAUUACUUAGUCGAGAAUAUCAAGUAUUAUAAGUUUCUGCGUAGUAUCUACAAUUAAUCAAAAUUACUUCUCUUUGGCAUCUCUCUUGCACUAAAUUAUGGAGGAACAAAUAGACAAGCAUGAGAAGUUGUUAAGUAAUUGAAGCCUGACAGAACUAAGAUUUUCAGUAAAAUAUUCUGCUGCUACUAUUCCUACACAAGAAACUAAAAAAUACAUAACGGAAACAGGAAAUUAGGAACAAUAUGCAGGUGUAAACAUGGCAUCACACGCAAGAUAUCACAAACAGAUUCAGGUAUUGCAUACAGUCAAAAACACAUGCCUUUUAUUAACACAAUAUUCUUCCUAAUUUGCCGAUUUUCUCACCCAAGUCUGAAGUU
This 1064-nucleotide long non-coding RNA is filed under the name Zea mays. RNAcentral's name for it is "long non-coding RNA (ZMAY_LNC004127)". The record is from RNAcentral. Lineage: Eukaryota; Viridiplantae; Streptophyta; Magnoliopsida; Poales; Poaceae.